UCAGUCGACUCCUACGGGGAGGCAGCAGUGGGGAAUAUUGCACAAGGGGGGAAACCCUGAUGCAGCCAUGCCGCGUGUGUGAAGAAGGCCUUCGGGUUGUAAAGCACUUUCAGUAGGGAGGAAGGUAGUGUAGUUAACACCUGCACUAUUUGACGUUACCUACAGAAGAAGCACCGGCUAACUCCGUGCCAGCAGCCGCGGUAAUACGGAGGGUGCGAGCGUUAAUCGGAAUUACUGGGCGUAAAGCGCAUGCAGGCGGCCUGUUAAGUCAGAUGUGAAAGCCCGGGGCUUAACCUCGGAAUUGCAUUUGAAACUGGCAGGCUAGAGUCUUGUAGAGGGGGGUAGGAAUUUCAGGUGUAGCGGUGAAAUGCGUAGAGAUCUGAAGGAAUACCAGUGGCGAAGGCGGCCCCCUGGACAAAGACUGACGCUCAGAUGCGAAAGCGUGGGGAGCAAACAGGAUUAGAUACCCUGGUAG
Molecule: ribosomal RNA, 475 nt
Filed under: uncultured bacterium
Lineage: Bacteria
Description: bacterial SSU rRNA
Rfam family: Bacterial small subunit ribosomal RNA
Source: RNAcentral